AUUGAACGCUGGCGGCAUGCUUUACACAUGCAAGUCGAACGGCAGCGCGGGGGCAACCCUGGCGGCGAGUGGCGAACGGGUGAGUAAUGCAUCGGAACGUAUCCUGUAAUGGGGGAUAACGUAGCGAAAGUUACGCUAAUACCGCAUACGCUCGAGAGAGGAAAGUGGGGGAUCGCAAGACCUCACGUUAUAGGAGCGGCCGAUGUCCGAUUAGCUAGUUGGUGGGGUAAAGGCCUACCAAGGCGACGAUCGGUAGCUGGUCUGAGAGGAUGAUCAGCCACACUGGGACUGAGACACGGCCCAGACUCCUACGGGAGGCAGCAGUGGGGAAUUUUGGACAAUGGGCGAAAGCCUGAUCCAGCCAUGCCGCGUGCGGG
RNAcentral lists this ribosomal RNA (377 nucleotides) under uncultured bacterium. RNAcentral's name for it is "bacterial SSU rRNA". It matches the Rfam family "Bacterial small subunit ribosomal RNA", at positions 29 to 407 of the family's 1533-position model. The record is from RNAcentral.